This 751-nucleotide ribosomal RNA is filed under the name Rhizopus arrhizus. Its description in RNAcentral is "SSU rRNA". It matches the Rfam family "Eukaryotic small subunit ribosomal RNA", at positions 97 to 852 of the family's 1831-position model. The record is from RNAcentral. Lineage: Eukaryota; Fungi; Mucoromycota; Mucoromycetes; Mucorales; Rhizopodaceae.
CUCAUUAAAUCAGUUAUGAUCUACGUGACAAAUUCUUUACUACUUGGAUAACCGUGGUAAUUCUAGAGCUAAUACAUGCAAAAAAGCCCUGACUUACGAAGGGGUGCACUUAUUAGAUAAAACCAACGCGGGGUAAAACCUGUUUCUUGGUGAAUCAUAAUAAUUAAGCGGAUCGCAUGGCCUUGUGCCGGCGACGGUCCACUCGAUUUUCUGCCCUAUCAUGGUUGAGAUUGUAAGAUAGAGGCUUACAAUGCCUACAACGGGUAACGGGGAAUUAGGGUUCGAUUCCGGAGAGGGAGCCUGAGAAACGGCUACCACAUCCAAGGAAGGCAGCAGGCGCGCAAAUUACCCAAUCCCGACACGGGGAGGUAGUGACAAUACAUAACAAUGCAGGGCCUUUAAGGUCUUGCAAUUGGAAUGAGUACAAUUUAAAUCCCUUAACGAGGAUCAAUUGGAGGGCAAGUCUGGUGCCAGCAGCCGCGGUAAUUCCAGCUCCAAUAGCGUAUAUUAAAGUUGUUGCAGUUAAAACGUCCGUAGUCAAACUUUAGUCUUACCGGCGUAGUGGCCUGGUCUUCAUUGACCAAGCUCAUUGCUGCCGGAGACUCCACGUCCAUUGACUCCUAGUCCUCGUGGCUAGGGUUUUCUGGACAAUUACCAUGAGCAAAUCAGAGUGUUUAAAGCAGGCUUUUAAGCUUGAAUGUGUUAGCAUGGAAUAAUGAAAUAUGACUUUAGUCCUAUUUUCGUUGGGUUU